GGGAAACUCACCAGGUCCAGACAUAAUAAGGAUUGACAGAUUGAUAGUUCUUUCUUGAUUUUAUGGGUGGUGGUGCAUGGCCGUUCUUAGUUCGUGGAGUGAUUUGUCAGGUUAAUUCCGUUAACGAACGAGACCUUAACCUGCUAAAUAGAAGCGCAUUUCUUCGGAAACGCGCCGUUCUUCUUAGAGGGACUCUGUGGCGUGAUAGCCCAGGGAAGUUUGAGGCUAAAA
Molecule: ribosomal RNA, 231 nt
Filed under: uncultured eukaryote
Lineage: Eukaryota
Description: partial 18S ribosomal RNA
Rfam family: Eukaryotic small subunit ribosomal RNA
Source: RNAcentral